AUGCCAAUAUAUGUUGGCCCUUCUAUUUUCUUUUUCAAGAAUAACCACAUGAAGAACUAUAAAUUGUGCCUCUGUUUAUAAAUUGUGCCUCUGUUUAUCAAUAGAUUUGAUGUCUAUGUGUGAGAGUUAUGUUUGAUACAUUUUAUAAGCAUAGUUCCGGUCGGGUUUUUUUAAUACCCGGUGCGGGUUUUUUCCCAACCCGAUGCAUACCCGAACCCUACCCGAUGAAUACCCGAACCAGACCCGAACCCGGAAAUAGGGUAUUAUAAUACCCGGGUUUUAUAAAACCCGACCCGAACCCUACCCGAACCCGGGUAUAUAGGGUAUACAUUUUUGGUAGAGAACCCGGACCCGGACCCGACCCGGUUUUUAAAAAAACCCGAUCCUACCCGAACCCGAUUUGUGCACCACUAUUUCAGUAGAGUGAACAAAAUAAAUUCUAAUUAACUGUAGCUUAUUAUUAACCGAAACCGUAACCGAUUGAUAACCGAUUUAGGACUAAUCGGUUUAGUGGUUAUUUUUAACCAUUGGUUAGUAAUCGGUUAUAAGUAAUUAGUAAUCGGU
Molecule: long non-coding RNA, 564 nt
Filed under: Helianthus annuus (common sunflower)
Lineage: Eukaryota; Viridiplantae; Streptophyta; Magnoliopsida; Asterales; Asteraceae
Description: hypothetical non coding rna
Source: RNAcentral